AGCUACCUGCAGUCGACGGCAGCACAGGAGAGCUUGCUCUCUGGGUGGCGAGUGGCGGACGGGUGAGGAAUACAUCGGAAUCUACUCUGUCGUGGGGGAUAACGUAGGGAAACUUACGCUAAUACCGCAUACGACCUACGGGUGAAAGCAGGGGACCUUCGGGCCUUGCGCGAUUGAAUGAGCCGAUGUCGGAUUAGCUAGUUGGCGGGGUAAAGGCCCACCAAGGCGACGAUCCGUAGCUGGUCUGAGUGGAUGAUCAGCCACACUGGAACUGAGACACGGUCCAGACUCCUACGGGAGGCAGCAGUGGGGAAUAUUGGACAAUGGGCGCAAGCCUGAUCCAGCCAUACCGCGUGGGUGAAGAAGGCCUUCGGGUUGUAAAGCCCUUUUGUUGGGAAAGAAAUCCAGCUGGCUAAUACCCGGUUGGGAUGACGGUACCCAAAGAAUAAGCACCGGCUAACUUCGUGCCAGCAGCCGCGGUAAUACGAAGGGUGCAAGCGUUACUCGGAAUUACUGGGCGUAAAGCGUGCGUAGGUGGUCGUUUAAGUCCGUUGUGAAAGCCCUGGGCUCAACCUGGGAACUGCAGUGGAUACUGGGCGACUAGAAUGUGGUAGAGGGUAGCGGAAUUCCUGGUGUAGCAGUGAAAUGCGUAGAGAUCAGGAGGAACAUCCAUGGCGAAGGCAGCUACCUGGACCAACAUUGACACUGAGGCACGAAAGCGUGGGGAGCAAACAGGAUUAGAUACCCUGGUAGUCCACGCCCUAAACGAUGCGAACUGGAUGUUGGGUGCAAUUUGGCACGCAGUAUCGAAGCUAACGCGUUAAGUUCCCCCCCCUGGGGAAGUACGGUC
This 850-nucleotide ribosomal RNA is filed under the name uncultured bacterium. Its description in RNAcentral is "bacterial SSU rRNA". It matches the Rfam family "Bacterial small subunit ribosomal RNA", at positions 49 to 887 of the family's 1533-position model. The record is from RNAcentral.